ACCUUUCUCCCCUUCUCUAUAUCCUGUUCAUGGUGGAGCAGAGCAUUCCUCAGGCUGUCGCAGGUUACGUUGAAUCCCAAGAGUUUUUAUAAAGUGGCCAUACAGGGGUGCAGUGAGCAUCUGGAACAGAUAAAGACAUCUUCCCUGCCUAUUCGAGAAAUAGGAUCCGUCCUGUAAAAUAAAAACUCAAGUUUGGCAACAUAGAAGUACAUUUUGGAAAA
Long non-coding RNA from Myotis myotis, 221 nucleotides. RefSeq lists it as uncharacterized. The record is from RefSeq and is a predicted model, not a curated record. Lineage: Eukaryota; Metazoa; Chordata; Mammalia; Chiroptera; Vespertilionidae. The transcript has 3 exons.